UCCCUAUCCCUGAUGUGUCGG
Molecule: non-coding RNA, 21 nt
Filed under: Arabidopsis thaliana (thale cress)
Lineage: Eukaryota; Viridiplantae; Streptophyta; Magnoliopsida; Brassicales; Brassicaceae
Source: RNAcentral